AUGAUCAUACUGUGUGUGUGUGUGUGUGUGUGUGUGUGUGUGUGUGUGUGUGUGUGUGUGUGUGUGUGUGUGUGUGUGUGUGUGUGUGUGUGCAGGGUGUUUAAGGGGGGGGAGGACGUACGGUUAAUGCGGCCGGCGUCGCCCGUCUCCCAGACGCCCGACACCCAGCAGGAGGCGGAGAAGGGCCCCGCCCGCAUGGAGCCCGACACCACCCAGCCGGGGACCAGCCGCGAGGUCACCGGCAGCAUGGUCUCCAUGAUGAGGUCAGCAUCCGGGGCGUCAUGGCAACGCUGGGCUGGGGUUCAGAGAGGGAGAGGAGGGACGGUCCAAGUGAUGAGGGCUGUUUUGGUAUCCUUGGGCUCUCUCUCUCUCUGUCUCCUCUCUCUCGCUCUCUCGCCCUGUCUCUGUGUUCUCUCUCUCUCUCUCUCUCUCUCUCUCUGUCUCUGUCUCUGUCUCUCUCUCUCUCUCUCUCUCUCUCUCUGUCUCCUCUCUGUCUCUCUCUCACUCUCUCUGUCUCUCUCGGUCACUCUCUCUCUCUUCACUCUCUCUGUCUGUCUCCUCUCUCUCUGUCUGUCUGUCUCUGUGUGUUCACUCUCUCUGUCUCUCUGUCGGUCUCCUCUCUGUCUCCUCUCUUUCUCCUCUCUGUCUCUCUCUGUCUCUGUGUUCACUCUCUCUGUCUCCUCUCUGUCUCCUCUGUCUCUGUCUCCUCUCUGUCUCUCUCUCUCUCUCUCUCUCUCUCUGUCUGUGUUCUCUCUCUCUGUCUCUCUCUCUCUCUCUCUCUCUCUCUCUCUCUGUCUGUGUUCACUCUCUUUGUCUCCUCUCUCACUGUCUGUCUCUGUCUCUCUCUCUCUCUCUCUCUCUCUGUCUGUGUUCUCUCUCUCUGUCUCCUCUCUGUCUCUCUCUCUCUCUGUCUGUGUUCACUCUCUCUGUCUCCUCUCUCACUGUCUGUCUCUGUCUGUCUCUCUCUCCCUCUCUGCAGGACGAUGUUGCGUUACUUCUUCCCUCCUGAUUUCCGGAUCCCUAAGGACGAUGUGA
Molecule: long non-coding RNA, 1035 nt
Filed under: Gadus morhua (Atlantic cod)
Lineage: Eukaryota; Metazoa; Chordata; Actinopteri; Gadiformes; Gadidae
Description: lncRNA (ENSGMOG00000025660.1)
Source: RNAcentral